Molecule: ribosomal RNA, 253 nt
Filed under: uncultured bacterium
Lineage: Bacteria
Description: partial 16S ribosomal RNA
Rfam family: Bacterial small subunit ribosomal RNA
Source: RNAcentral
GACGUAGGGUGCGAGCGUUGUCCGGAUUUAUUGGGCGUAAAGAGCUCGUAGGCGGCUCGUCGCGUCGACCGUGAAAACCCGCGGCUUAACUGCGGGCUUGCGGUUGAUACGGGCGGGCUAGAGUUCGGUAGGGGAGACUGGAAUUCCUGGUGUAGCGGUGAAAUGCGCAGAUAUCAGGAGGAACACCGGUGGCGAAGGCGGGUCUCUGGGCCGAUACUGACGCUGAGGCGCGAAAGCAUGGGGAGCGAACAGG